GAUGAACGCUGGCGGCGUGCCUAAUACAUGCAAGUCGAGCGAACGGACGAGAAGCUUGCUUCUCUGACGUUAGCGGCGGACGGGUGAGUAACACGUGGAUAACCUACCUAUAAGACUGGGAUAACUUCGGGAAACCGGAGCUAAUACCGGAUAAUAUUUUGAACCGCAUGGUUCAAUAGUGAAAGACGGUCUUGCUGUCACUUAUAGAUGGAUCCGCGCUGCAUUAGCUAGUUGGUAAGGUAACGGCUUACCAAGGCAACGAUGCAUAGCCGACCUGAGAGGGUGAUCGGCCACACUGGAACUGAGACACGGUCCAGACUCCUACGGGAGGCAGCAGUAGGGAAUCUUCCGCAAUGGGCGAAAGCCUGACGGAGCAACGCCGCGUGAGUGAUGAAGGUCUUCGGAUCGUAAAACUCUGUUAUUAGGGAAGAACAUAUGUGUAAGUAACUAUGCACGUCUUGACGGUACCUAAUCAGAAAGCCACGGCUAACUACGUG
RNAcentral lists this ribosomal RNA (497 nucleotides) under uncultured bacterium. Its description in RNAcentral is "partial 16S ribosomal RNA". It matches the Rfam family "Bacterial small subunit ribosomal RNA", at positions 28 to 507 of the family's 1533-position model. The record is from RNAcentral.